Molecule: ribosomal RNA, 468 nt
Filed under: uncultured bacterium
Lineage: Bacteria
Description: partial 16S ribosomal RNA
Rfam family: Bacterial small subunit ribosomal RNA
Source: RNAcentral
GACGAACGCUGGCGGCGUGCUUAACACAUGCAAGUCGAACGGAAAGGCCCUGCUUUUGUGGGGUGCUCGAGUGGCGAACGGGUGAGUAACACGUGAGUAACCUGCCCUUGACUUUGGGAUAACUUCAGGAAACUGGGGCUAAUACCGGAUAGGAGCUCCUGCUGCAUGGUGGGGGUUGGAAAGUUUCGGCGGUUGGGGAUGGACUCGCGGCUUAUCAGCUUGUUGGUGGGGUAGUGGCUUACCAAGGCUUUGACGGGUAGCCGGCCUGAGAGGGUGACCGGGCACAUUGGGACUGAGAUACGGACCAGACUCCUACGGGAGGCAGCAGUGGGGAAUAUUGCACAAUGGGCGGAAGCCUGAUGCAGCAACGCCGCGUGCGGAAUGACGGCCUUCGGGUUGUAAACCGCUUUCGCCUGUGACGAAGCGUGAGUGACGGUAAUGGGUAAAGAAGCACCGGCUAACUACGUG